GUAUUAUUUUAACUUUUAGUUUCUUGUGUACAAUUUGGAGUUUAGUAUGGUGUUCAUUAUCACUGAACUAGUUUAUAUUUGUUUAGGGGCCAGCUGAAGAACGCCUCCGGGUGCAAGUUUCUCGUUGCAUUGAAGACCUGCUGGUGACCUUCUGCUGUUGUCUGCUCUAUGGUCGGGUUGUUGUCUCUUUUGCACAUUCCCCAUUUCCAUUCUCAAUUUUAU
RNAcentral lists this long non-coding RNA (222 nucleotides) under Mytilus galloprovincialis (Mediterranean mussel). Lineage: Eukaryota; Metazoa; Mollusca; Bivalvia; Mytilida; Mytilidae. The record is from RNAcentral.